Molecule: ribosomal RNA, 490 nt
Filed under: uncultured bacterium
Lineage: Bacteria
Description: partial 16S ribosomal RNA
Rfam family: Bacterial small subunit ribosomal RNA
Source: RNAcentral
AUUGAACGCUGGCGGCAGGCCUAACACAUGCAAGUCGAACGGUAACAGGAAGCAGCUUGCUGCUUCGCUGACGAGUGGCGGACGGGUGAGUAAUGUCUGGGAAACUGCCUGAUGGAGGGGGAUAACUACUGGAAACGGUAGCUAAUACCGCAUAACGUCGCAAGACCAAAGAGGGGGACCUUAGGGCCUCUUGCCAUCGGAUGUGCCCAGAUGGGAUUAGCUAGUAGGUGGGGUAACGGCUCACCUAGGCGACGAUCCCUAGCUGGUCUGAGAGGAUGGCCAGCCACACUGGAACUGAGACACGGUCCAGACUCCUACGGGAGGCAGCAGUGGGGAAUAUUGCACAAUGGGCGCAAGCCUGAUGCAGCCACGCCGCGUGUAUGAAGAAGGCCUUCGGGUUGUAAAGUACUUUCAGCGGGGAGGAAGGGAGUAAAGUUAAUACCUUUGCUCAUUGACGUUACCCGCAGAAGAAGCACCGGCUAACUCCGUG